This 377-nucleotide ribosomal RNA is filed under the name Pedipes jouani. RNAcentral describes it as "partial 12S ribosomal RNA". The stretch from base 39 to 377 matches the Rfam family "Microsporidia small subunit ribosomal RNA", at positions 751 to 1195 of the family's 1311-position model. The record is from RNAcentral. Lineage: Eukaryota; Metazoa; Mollusca; Gastropoda; Ellobiida; Ellobiidae.
UUAGAUACCCCACUAUAAUGAGUGUUAACAAAAAUACCGAGGCACUAAGGCCAAUCAUGGCUAAAACCUAAAAAGCUUGGCGGUAAACUAAACUUUUAGGGGAACUUACCAGGUAAUAGAUAGCCCACAUGAGAAUCUUACUAGGCCUUACAGUUUGUAUACCGCCGUCUUCAGGCCUAUCCUAAAGAUAGGCCAAAAUAUUUUUCAUAAAAAGUCAGGUCAUGGUGCAGCCAAUGGACCUAGAGCUAGGCGAGUUACAAUUCUAUCCGCUCGAACAGAUGACGCUUCGAAACAGGUGUCUAAAGAUGGACUUAAAAGUAACCAAUAAAGCUUUUUGAAUAACUGGUGAAUAUUUUCUUAGUUUGUGUACACACCGC